RNAcentral lists this ribosomal RNA (494 nucleotides) under uncultured bacterium. RNAcentral's name for it is "bacterial SSU rRNA". It matches the Rfam family "Bacterial small subunit ribosomal RNA", at positions 30 to 518 of the family's 1533-position model. The record is from RNAcentral.
UGAACGCUAGCGGCAGGCUUAACACAUGCAAGUCGAGGGGCAGCGCGAGUAGCAAUACUUGGCGGCGACCGGCGCAAGGGUGCGUAACGCGUGAGCAACAUGCCCGUAUCAGGGGGAUAAUCCAGGGAAACUUGGUCUAAUACCCCAUAGUAAUUUUGUAAGGCAUCUUAUAAGAUUUAAAGCUUUGGUGGAUACGGAUUGGCUCGCGUGACAUUAGCUGGAUGGUAAGGUAACGGCUUACCAUGGCUAUGAUGUCUAGGGGUUCUGAGAGGAGGUCCCCCCACACUGGAACUGAGACACGGUCCAGACUCCUACGGGAGGCAGCAGUGAGGAAUAUUGGACAAUGGAUGGAAAUCUGAUCCAGCCAUGCCGCGUGAAGGAAGAAAGGUCCUAUGGAUUGUAAACUUCUUUUGUAUGGGAGCAAUAAGGCCUACGAGUAGGUUGAUGAGAGUACCAUACGAAUAAGCACCGGCUAACUCCGUGCCAGCAGCUGC